ACUCAGGUGUUGUUGGGUAGGGGAGCGUUCUGUAAGCCUGCGAAGGUGGCCUGUGAGGGUUGCUGGAGGUAUCAGAAGUGCGAAUGCUGACAUAAGUAACGAUAAAGCGGGUGAAAAGCCCGCUCGCCGGAAGACCAAGGGUUCCUGUCCAACGUUAAUCGGGGCAGGGUGAGUCGACCCCUAAGGCGAGGCCGAAAGGCGUAGUCGAUGGGAAACGGGUUAAUAUUCCCGUACUUGGUGUUACUGCGAAGGGGGGACGGAGAAGGCUAUGUUGGCCGGGCGACGGUUGUCCCGGUUUAAGCGUGUAGGUGUGUGUUCCAGGUAAAUCCGGUUCACUUUAACACUGAGGCGUGACGACGAGGCACUACGGUGCUGAAGCAACAAAUGCCCUGCUUCCAGGAAAAGCCUCUAAGCAUCAGGUAACAUCAAAUCGUACCCCAAACCGACACAGGUGGUCAGGUAGAGAAUACCAAGGCGCUUGAGAGAACUCGGGUGAAGGAACUAGGCAAAAUGGUGCCGUAACUUCGGGAGAAGGCACGCUGACACGUAGGUGAAGUGAUUUACUCACGGAGCUGAAGUCAGUCGAAGAUACCAGCUGGCUGCAACUGUUUAUUAAAAACACAGCACUGUGCAAACACGAAAGUGGACGUAUACGGUGUGACGCCUGCCCGGUGCCGGAAGGUUAAUUGAUGGGGUCAGCGCAAGCGAAGCUCCUGAUCGAAGCCCCGGUAAACGGCGGCCGUAACUAUAACGGUCCUAAGGUAGCGAAAUUCCUUGUCGGGUAAGUUCCGACCUGCACGAAUGGCGUAAUGAUGGCCAGGCUGUCUCCACCCGAGACUCAGUGAAAUUGAACUCGCUGUGAAGAUGCAGUGUACCCGCGGCAAGACGGAAAGACCCCGUGAACCUUUACUAUAGCUUGACACUGAACAUUGAGCCUUGAUGUGUAGGAUAGGUGGGAGGCUUUGAAGUGUGGACGCCAGUCUGCAUGGAGCCGACCUUGAAAUACCACCCUUUAAUGUUUGAUGUUCUAACGUGGACCCGUGAUCCGGGUUGCGGACAGUGUCUGGUGGGUAGUUUGACUGGGGCGGUCUCCUCCUAAAGAGUAACGGAGGAGCACGAAGGUUGGCUAAUCCUGGUCGGACAUCAGGAGGUUAGUGCAAUGGCAUAAGCCAGCUUGACUGCGAGCGUGACGGCGCGAGCAGGUGCGAAAGCAGGUCAUAGUGAUCCGGUGGUUCUGAAUGGAAGGGCCAUCGCUCAACGGAUAAAAGGUACUCCGGGGAUAACAGGCUGAUACCGCCCAAGAGUUCAUAUCGACGGCGGUGUUUGGCACCUCGAUGUCGGCUCAUCACAUCCUGGGGCUGAAGUAGGUCCCAAGGGUAUGGCUGUUCGCCAUUUAAAGUGGUACGCGAGCUGGGUUUAGAACGUCGUGAGACAGUUCGGUCCCUAUCUGCCGUGGGCGCUGGAGAACUGAGGGGGGCUGCUCCUAGUACGAGAGGACCGGAGUGGACGCAUCACUGGUGUUCGGGUUGUCAUGCCAAUGGCACUGCCCGGUAGCUAAAUGCGGAAGAGAUAAGUGCUGAAAGCAUCUAAGCACGAAACUUGCCCCGA
Molecule: ribosomal RNA, 1608 nt
Filed under: Salmonella enterica subsp. enterica serovar Rubislaw
Lineage: Bacteria; Pseudomonadati; Pseudomonadota; Gammaproteobacteria; Enterobacterales; Enterobacteriaceae
Also listed under: 1 other name
Description: partial 23S ribosomal RNA
Rfam family: Bacterial large subunit ribosomal RNA
Source: RNAcentral